This is a long non-coding RNA of Bos taurus (domestic cattle), 670 nucleotides long. NCBI's taxonomy places the organism in Eukaryota, Metazoa, Chordata, Mammalia, Artiodactyla, Bovidae. The record is from Ensembl.
CUUUUGGUCAAAACAGCCACAAGCCUGGCCCAGCAUACAGAGCAGCAGAGAAAUAGCUCCUACUUUUCCGUGUCAGAGUGACAGUCAUGGCUUCUGUCCUUGAGAAACUUUUCAGUUUAUUUAACAAGCAUUAGCCAAGCAGGUGCCAAACACUGUCUAGGUGCUACUAGGAAACACCAUCAUCUCUGCCUUCAUGGACUUCACACUCCGCUAGAGGGUUUUGACAGCAUAGACAAUGUGUACGAACAAUUGCUUCUGAAGCUGUCCUGGGAGUCUCAGAGUGCAGAGCUAGGAGCUGGAAAAUCCCAGACUCCUGGCCUGAAAGAGACCUGAAGAAGCCACUGUUCUGGGAAAACUGAGAGUUCUGCAGUGAAAGAUUAGCUACUCUAUUUAAGAACAUUAUUUGACUUCACACACACACACACACAAAUAUUACAGCAAGACUGAUGAAAAACUAAAAAAUUUAAAAAUUCACCCAUGAUGUCAUCAUGACCAUAAAAUAGCCUGUUUUCAUAUGUCUACAUAUUUCCCUGCCAGUCCUUGUCUGUAUGCAUUUAUGUAACUUUUACAGAGUUAAUGUCAUCAUUAAGAUAAAAGCAUGUUUUUCUUUUUACUGAACAAUUCAUCAUAAUUAGGGACUUACUUGGCAGUCCAGUGGUUAAGACUCCUU